This 1346-nucleotide ribosomal RNA is filed under the name uncultured bacterium. RNAcentral describes it as "partial 16S ribosomal RNA". It matches the Rfam family "Bacterial small subunit ribosomal RNA", at positions 28 to 1381 of the family's 1533-position model. The record is from RNAcentral.
GACGAACCUUUGCGGCGUGCUUAACACAUGCAAGUCGAACGGAAAGGCCCUGCUUUUGUGGGGUGCUCGAGUGGCGAACGGUUGAGUAACACGUGAGUAACCUGCCCUUGACUUUGGGAUAACUUCAGGAAACUGGGGCUAAUACCGGAUAGGAGCUCCUGCUGCAUGGUGGGGGUUGGAAAGUUUCGGCGGUUGGGGAUGGACUCGCGGCUUAUCAGCUUGUUGGUGGGGUAGUGGCUUACCAAGGCUUUGACGGGUAGCCGGCCUGAGAGGGUGACCGGCCACAUUGGGACUGAGAUACGGCCCAGACUCCUACGGGAGGCAGCAGUGGGGAAUAUUGCACAAUGGGCGGAAGCCUGAUGCAGCAACGCCGCGUGCGGGAUGACGGCCUUCGGGUUGUAAACCGCUUUCGCCUGUGACGAAGCGUGAGUGACGGUAAUGGGUAAAGAAGCACCGGCUAACUACGUGCCAGCAGCCGCGGUGAUACGUAGGGUGCGAGCGUUGUCCGGAUUUAUUGGGCGUAAAGGGCUCGUAGGUGGUUGAUCGCGUCGGAAGUGUAAUCUUGGGGCUUAACCCUGAGCGUGCUUUCGAUACGGGUUGACUUGAGGAAGGUAGGGGAGAAUGGAAUUCCUGGUGGAGCGGUGGAAUGCGCAGAUAUCAGGAGGAACACCAGUGGCGAAGGCGGUUCUCUGGGCCUUUCCUGACGCUGAGGAGCGAAAGCGUGGGGAGCGAACAGGCUUAGAUACCCUGGUAGUCCACGCUGUAAACGGUGGGUACUAGGUGUGGGGUCCAUUCCACGGGUUCCGUGCCGUAGCUAACGCUUUAAGUACCCCGCCUGGGGAGUACGGCCGCAAGGCUAAAACCCAAAGGAAUUGACGGGGCCCCGCACAAGCGGCGGAGCAUGCGGAUUAAUUCGAUGCAACGCGUAGAACCUUACCUGGGUUUGACAUGGAUCGGGAGUGCUCAGAGAUGGGUGUGCCUCUUUUGGGGUCGGUUCACAGGUGGUGCAUGCCUGUCGUCAGCUCGUGUCGUGAGAUGUUGGGUUAAGUCCCGCAACGAGCGCAACCCUUGUUCACUGUUGCCAGCACGUUAUGGUGGGGACUCAGUGGAGACCGCCGGGGUCAACUCGGAGGAAGGUGGGGAUGACGUCAAGUCAUCAUGCCCCUUAUGUCCAGGGCUUCACGCAUGCUACAAUGGCUGGUACAGAGAGUGGCGAGCCUGUGAGGGUGAGCGAAUCUCGGAAAGCCGGUCUCAGUUCGGAUUGGGGUCUGCAACUCGACCUCAUGAAGUCGGAGUCGCUAGUAAUCGCAAAUCAGCAACGCUGCGGUGAAUACGUUCCCGGGGCU